RNAcentral lists this transfer RNA (92 nucleotides) under Candidatus Andersenbacteria bacterium RIFCSPHIGHO2_02_FULL_46_16. RNAcentral describes it as "tRNA-Ser". RNAcentral also lists the same sequence under 4 other names. Lineage: Bacteria; Candidatus Anderseniibacteriota. The record is from RNAcentral.
GUAUUUAUCGGAUAGCCUGGUUUAUUCCACUGCACUCGAAAUGCGGUAAGUCUUAACGGGCUUCGGAGGUUCGAAUCCUCCCGUCUCCGCCU